AUUUCUUUUUGUUUUUCAUUGAUUUCUAAAUUUUUUGUAUUUGUUAAUAUUUCUGUAUAUGUUUCACUAUCUUCUGAAUCAUAAUUAUCUGUCUCUUCAACUUCUAUAUUAUUUAAUUCUUACCAUUGCUGUUAAUUUAUCUUCUAAUUUUAAUUCUUCUUUUUCUAACAUUAGAUAUAAAUGUUCACCUAUUUUCUUAUAUCUUCGUCCUAGAUUAGAAAAUACUAUUUUUAUUUUUGAUCCUUCGUGGUUUUCAUAUAUUUUUUCAUCUAUUAUAAAUUCUUCUUUGUUCAUUUUAUUGUGAAU
This 306-nucleotide long non-coding RNA is filed under the name Capsicum annuum. RNAcentral describes it as "long non-coding RNA (CANN_LNC011149)". Lineage: Eukaryota; Viridiplantae; Streptophyta; Magnoliopsida; Solanales; Solanaceae. The record is from RNAcentral.